UUUUCGAAGUGGUUCGCGAUGCCUAGUUUUUGGAUGCUGUCAAUCAGCUGUAAGUUCUAUUUGAGAGCAAACACUUUGUGAUUUGUACAAAGUCUUUUGGGACGAUAAGGAGAUUAACUUUAUCACAUGUGGCAGACUUAUAAGGAGUUGUAUUACUUAGGUAUACAAGUCAGAAACAUUCUUAGAUAAACUAGAACUCUUCUAGCUGAUUUAUGCACAAGUAAUCUUCGGUGAUAAAGUUCAUCUUUGAUAGGGUUUACUUAAUGGGAGGACUCCUAAUCAAAGACCAUCACCUAUAGUAUAUAACUGAGGUCCCUGUGCUCUCACUAAAUACCUGCAAGUAUACAGAAAUCCUCAAGCCCCAUUGAGUGAGCCUUGCUUCCGGACAGUGCAGAGACACAGAAGAGCCUCAGUUCUUUACCCUAUUUCUGAGACGAUGUCUUCAUCAGGUUAGUGGUUAGAUUGGUAUAUGAGUCAGUCGUUAUAUAUGUAUAUAACCUAAAGAAUUAACUUACAUUUGGUAUCAGAGCCCUCACAUAUCAUCUGACCCUAUGUGAAAGGCAUCAAGAAAUUUCAUUCUGUCUUGCAGGUUAUGGAACUGGAACUGUAUCAUCAAGGAAAAAUAUAUACAACACGUUCAAGGACGACUAAAGUUAUCCUUGAUCAUAAGGAUAUUAUGUUUUUCAAUCGAUACAUGUACCAGUGAUGGUGCUUAAAAUUCAAGACAUGAUUAUUGAUCAUCUAAAGAUGAUUUUUCUUUCAUGCUUCGAAUUUGAGCAGCAUAUCAUUUUAUAUAUAUAUAUUUGAAUCAAAUUAAUAUUGUCAAACCACAAAGGCUUGUGAUUUUAAUUACAGAAAUUCGAAUGUUGACUAUAAAAGUGAUAUGAUUAAAGAAAGUUUUCACAUAUUCAUCAAUCUAAAGAUGUUGAAGAUGUGAUUUAUGGUUUGGGGUUAAAGAUUAAUACUCUUUACAUCAUGAACGUUUCCUUUUCAGUGAAUCCCAGCUCUUUGAAUCUCAAUACAGUUGAGCCUCUUACUGGUGUCAACUACAGAAAGUGGAAACAAGAUCUCGAAAUCGUUUUGGGAGUUAUGGACUGGGAUUUGGCACUGAGAACUGAAGAACCUCCGGCACUCACUGAUGACAGCACUGCAAAUCAGAAAUCCAAGUAUGAAAAAUGGCACAAAUCCAACAGAAUUGCCCUAUUGAUCAUCAAAAGGAGCAUGACAGAUGUGGUGAGAGGUGGCUUUCCUGAUGAAGCAAAUGCAAAAGAUUUUUUGAAGUCCAUUGAGGCAAAGUAUAGGGAAUCACCAAAAACUGAGACAGGUAAUCUCAUGAAUGCUCUCACUACCAUGAGAUAUGAUGGGGUUCAAAGUUUGUGAGAAUACAUAUUGAAAAUGGUGGACGUUGUUGCUGGAAAACUCAAUGCACUCGAGGUACCAAUUUCUGAUACUUUUCUGGUACAUGUCAUUAUGAAUUCUCUGCCUGAAAGUUAUACACAACUCAAAGUUUAUUAUAAUGGUCUACGUGAGAAAUGGGAUGUGAAUGAAUUGAUAGCUAUUUGUGUGAGUGAAGAAGAAAGGAUGAAGAAAGAAAGGUUUGAGAAAGAGAGAAUUGAGUCUGUGAACCUUGUCCAAAGUGUCACUAGGGCCACUAAAUUUCAUGUUCCCGAUACUGCCAAAAAGGAUUCUACCAAGUCAGUUCCCUCUCCUAAAAGAAACUUCAAGCUUAAUAAACUUUCAGUUUUCAAGUGCUAUUUUUGCAAAAAGGCAGGCCACAUGAAGAAAAGCUGUCCCAAAUAUAAGGCUUGGCUUGCCAAACAAGAAGCAAAGAAAGGUAAAAAUGUUUUUGCUUGUUUUGAAUCAAAUUUAAUUAACAUACCCAGCACUGAAUGGUGGCUUGACUCGGGCUCUUCUAUACAUGUUACAACUUCAUUACAAGACUUCACAACAUGGAGAACACCAAAUAAGGAUGAAGUCAAAGUUUCGGUUGGCAAUGGAAGAAGAGUUGAAGUCAAAGCCCUAGGAAGUGUUAGACUAAAGCUAGAAUUUGGUUUUUAUUUAGAGUUAGAUAACGUGUUUAUGUGCCUUCCAUGAAAAGGAAGUUGAUUUCUAUUUCAAAGCUAGUGUUAUUGGGUUUUUAUUUUACUAUUAAUAAAAGGGGCUUUAACGUUUUUUAUGAAUCUUCUCAAGUAGGACAUGGUUUCAUGAGUGAUGGUAUGUUUCAACUUAAAUUAAAUCAAACUGAAUAUGUUUUCAACGUACAAGAUGAUAAAAUCAAAACUCAACAGUCUUCAAUAUUAUGGCAUAAGAGACUCGGCCAUAUUUCUAAACAAAGAAUGGAGCUGCUUGUCAAAAACGAAAUUCUACCUCCAUUAAACUUCAAUGACUUUGAAUUUUGUGUGGAUUGCAUUAAAGGGAAAAUGACAAACACUAGAAAGGAAGGCUCAACUAGGAGUAAGCAACCCUUAGAGAUCAUUCACACGGACAUUUGUGGUCCUUUUCCCACACAAACCUUAGAAGGAAACAAAUAUUUCAUUACUUAUAUUGAUGAUUUCUCAAGAUUUUGCUUCAUUUAUUUGAUUUCAGAAAAGUCUAAAGCACUUGAAACUUUUUAAAAUUUAUAAAAGUGAAGUCGAAAAUCAAUUGGAAAGGAACAUUAAGGUUGUAAGAUCUGAUAGGGGAGGGGAGUACUAUGGUAGAUAUACUGAAAUUGGUAGAAAUCCUGGACCUUUUGCGUUAUUUCUGCAAGAACAUGGAAUUGUAGCCCAAUAUACCACACCAGGUACUCCGGAGCAAAACGGAGUAGCCGAGAGGAGGAAUAGAACUCUCAUGGACAUGGUAAGGAGCAUGAUUUGUAGAACUAAUCUGCCAAGUUGUUUGUGGGGAGAAGCAGUGAAAACUGCAAAUUAUAUAUUUAAAUAGGGUACCUUCUAAAUCUGUGGAAGGGACACCUUUCGAACUAUGGACAGGCAGAAAACCGAGUUUAAACCACUUGCAUGUAUGGGGCUGUAGAGCAGAGGCAAAGAUAUAUAAUCCAGGCUACAAGAAACUUGAUUCAAAGACUGUCAGUUGUCGUUUUAUUGGAUAUGCUGAAAGGUCGAAGGGUUUUAGAUUUUAUUGCCCUAACCAAAAUACAAGAAUUGUCGAAACUGGAAAAGCAGUUUUCAUGGAGUCUGAUGCAAGCGUCGAUUCUGGGACAAGGGUUGAAGGGUUUGUAUUUGAAGAAGAAAUAAACAAUCAAGAAGCAGCAGUUGAAGACGUUGAUCGUAACACAGCGAUUAUGGCACCGAUAGUUGUAGUAACCGAGAUAAUGGGAAGCAAUGAUUCUGAUGAACCAAGUCACGAGAUAGAGGUUGCACAUGACAUCGAACUGCACGAUAACACUGUUGUACAAGACGUGUUUGAAGAGGUUGUGACAGAAAAUCAACAACAACAACACCAUGCACAUGAAGACAACAUCACGGCUGCGGGUGCUGCAAAUAUAAGAAUGUCAUCUAGGGUUAGAAAACCUACAACCCUAAAUGAUUUCGUAUAUUUGACACAGGUUGACACUGAUCUUUCAGAGUUUAAUGAUCCGAUGAGUUACAAAGAAGCAAUUGCAGGACCAGAUGCUGAUAAAUGGAUAGAAGCCAUGAAGAGUGAACUGAGUUCGAUGGCAAACAAUCAAGUGUGGGAUCUAGUGGAACAGGCAGAAGGAUCAAAACCCAUAAGAUGCAAAUGGGUUUUCAAAACAAAAAAGGAUUCAAACGGAAACAUAGAAAGGCACAAAGCCAGGCUUGUUGCGAAAGGCUUCACGCAAAAGGAGGGUGUAGACUACAAAGAAACAUUCAGCCCCGUGUCGACAAAAGAUGCGUUUAGGGUUAUUAUGUCUAUGGUGGCUCAUUUUGAUUUGAUUUUACAUCAAAUGGAUGUAAAAACGGCGUUCUUGAAUGGGGACCUGGAAGAAUGCAUUUACAUGCGUCAACCAGAAGGUUUCAAGGAGGGAGAAGGAAGAAACCUAGUGUGCAAACUCAACAAAUCCAUAUAUGGAUUGAAGCAAGCAUCACGGCAAUGGUACUUGAAAUUUCAUAGAAUUGUGAAAGAACAUGGCUUCACCGAGAAUCCUUCAGACAAUUGCAUUUAUCUGAAGUUCAGUGGUAGCAACUUUAUCAUCCUAGUUCUCUAUGUGGAUGAUAUAUUACUUGCCACGAAUUCUCACAGUUUGUUGGAUGAUACAAAAACUUUUUUGCAGAAGCAUUUUGAAAUGAAAGACAUGGGAGAAGCGACAUAUGUUUUGGGCAUUGAGAUCAAAAGGGAUAGAAUGAGAGGUUUGCUAGGCUUGUCACAGAAAGCAUACAUAGAGAAAAUGUUAAGAAGGUUUAAUAUGUCUUCGUGUGGAACUACUGAGAUGCCUAUAUCGAAGGGUGAUAAAUUGAGUAAGCAGCAGUGUCCACAAACAGACUUAGAGAGGAAGGCUAUGGAUGACAAACCAUACGCCUCCCUGGUGGGAAGUUUAAUGUAUGCACAGGUGUGCACAAGGCCUGACUUGGCUUUCACCAUUUCCGUGCUUGGGAGGUUUCAAUCCAAUGCAGGUGAAGCUCACUGGAAUGCUGCCAAAAGAGUUUUGAGAUACCUUCAGAGAACCAAGGACCAUAUGUUGGUGUAUAAAAGAACCGAGAGUUUGGUUUUGGAAGGGUAUAGUGAUUCUGAUUUUGCCGGUUGUCCAGAUGAUAUGAAGUCAACUACAGGUUAUGUUUUCUUAAUGGCAUGUGGUGCGGUUUCUUGGAAGUCUGUCAAACAAGGAACUGUGGCAGCGUCAACAAUGGUUGCAGAGUAUUUAUCAGUCUGUGAAACAGUGAAUCAAGCUGUUUGGUUGAAGAAUUUCAUAGUUGGGCUUCAAGUAGUGGACUCUAUAUCGAGACCUAUACAGAUUUUCUGUGAUAAUAAUGCAGCCAUAUUCUUUACUAAAAAUAAUAAGAGAUCUAAUGCAACAAGGAAUUUGGAUAUAAAAUAUCUCAUUGCUCGAGAGAAGGUGAUGGCCGGUUUAGUUAAGGUUGAUUAUUUGGAGACUGGAUCCAUGAUCGCUGAUCCGUUAAAUAAAGCAGUUCCCACCAUCGUUUUCAAGAAGCAUGUCACUAGCAUGGGAGUCUUGGCUGGUUUUGAUGCAGCGAAUUAGUGGGAGCUAUGCAACAGGUUUCAACUUUUAUGCUAGUUUUCAUUCAAUAGCAAUUUAUGUUAUAGAGGAUAAGUUUGAGUAUUAACAAUGAAGUUUUCUUAGCUAAUAAAGAAUAAAGCUGAAAGGUUGUUCAAGUUUCCUUAAAGGGUUCAGUUUUUAGCUAUGAUAAUGCAUGAAUAUUUUGCAUGCUGUUUAUGAUUUUUAUUCAUUACACAGUGUCGGACAACCUGAGGGCUUUAUAUAGAAGCACAUGGAUCGUUUUGAUUCUGAAAGGGACCAAAUGUUAGACAUAAUUAAUACAUGUUCGGUUGUGUCUUGCAUGCUAUAUAUCUUGUUGGAAUCUUAUGUGUUGAUAAGCUUUACUGCAAGUAAUUAUGGGGACGGUACUCUUCAGUGUAAUGAGUGUGUUGCCCUAUAAUUCUCAUGAAUGCUUAACAAUGACGAAGACUGGAAAACUAAGAAGUGUCGAAAGUUAAUCUCAUGGCCAAUUCAGAUCCUUCCCAACUCCAGUAUGAUUAUACAACUUUACAAAGUAUUUGCUCUAGUGGGAGAAUGUAAGUUCUAUUUGAGAGCAAACACUUUGUGAUUUGUACAAAGUCUUUUGGGACGAUAAGGAGAUUAACCUUAUCACAUGUGGCAGACUUAUAAGGAGUUGUAUUACUUAGGUAUACAAGUCAGAAACAUUCUUAGAUAAACUAGAACUCUUCUAGCUGAUUUAUGCACAAGUAAUCUUCGGUGAUAAAGUUCAUCUUUGAUAGGGUUUACUUAAUGGGAGGACUCCUAAUCAAAGACCAUCACCUAUAGUAUAUAACUGAGGUCCCUGUGCUCUCACUAAAUACCUGCAAGUAUACAGAAAUCCUCAAGCCCCAUUGAGUGAGCCUUGCUUCCGGACAGUGCAGAGACACAGAAGAGCCUCAGUUCUUUACCCUAUUUCUGAGACGAUGUCUUCAUCAGGUUAGUGGUUAGAUUGGUAUAUGAGUCAGUCGUUAUAUAUGUAUAUAACCUAAAGAAUUAACUUACAUCAGCUCCAACUUAGCUACUAAAUGGAAGAAGCUUAGAAAUAUAUGUAUAACUCACACCAUAUUUGCUGUUAAGAGAUUGAUCUAGGAAAUCAUACUUCCAAAUACUUGGUUUGUAAUUGGCAGAUCGUCUUUGAUUAGUCAAGUAAGAGGUUUCGGGUUCGAGUUUCAUCUGGUUUUGAAGAAUUUGCUGCUCAUGAUCAGCUUGCAAGUACUGUAAACUCCAUGGUGAAGACUUAGUCUGAUGUACAAGAAGCUCGAGAUAUUUGGGAUAUCAAAUGAAUCUCCGGAGGGGUGGGUCAUAUAGGCAAAGGUAUUGGAAACUCCACACUGUGUUUACUGGUCAAUAUAUUAGUCAUGGGUACUGUUUAUAGCGUUCACAAUAUUUCACUUGGAAAACGAGAAAAAUAUCAAUGAGUUUAUGAUAUCAAGGGGAGGGAAAAAAUGGUGGAGAGAAUCCUACUCCUUUUUUUAUGUUUAAUAUAUAUGAAAUGUUGGCUUUAAAUCAGAUCAACUCAGUUAUGAGAUGCUUUGAUAUGUUGCAAAACCUACAUCUGAAACGAGAAAGUUUCAGCCAUCCGCUUAGAUAUAUAUUUGACAUUUUCGCAAGAGACUACUCUAAUUAGGUUAAAAGAUUGAACUCGGGGGCACAUUAGAGUGAGCGCUUUAAAUAACUAUUUUGAUUUACACAUGUCAUUGUUUUAAUUCACAUAAAGAUGAUUGAGCUCGAAUACAAAAAUAUUAGACACAUUAACCUGAACAACCUAGUCUAACUCACACAUAUUUCAUCAUAACCAAAAUCAAGUUGAAUUCUAAUUUGGCUCCCGGAGAUUCUAGUACAGAAAAAUCAUACAACAAAUUCGAAUCCCAUAAUAAGCAAAACUUUGCUUUUCCAAUUAAUGUCGGGCAAUGAUAUUUCAUUCAAUAGCAAAUUCAAGAUUUUAAUGAUGGGUGAUCUCAAUAUAAAAGUUCAAAAAAAAUAAAUAAAUAACAUUAAAAAAAUAAACGACAAACUACAACUUUUUAUUCAUAAUCUUUGUGCAACAACGUUACAAACUGUAAAGAUUAAUUUAUCCAUGACGAACUGAACCGCAAACUUCUUGCUGCUAUUUAUUUCAAACUAUAUGAGUACUAGUUUACAAGAGGUUGGAAUAGUAAAGACAGGAUGUGGGUCCGAGGCCCUUUCUCUUGGUCACCAAACCCAUCUCCAUCUUUGUAAAGGCUGUGCGCCACACGUGCCAUGUUUGUGGCAUUGUUCAUGAAUGAUGACAGAAAAGGCACUUGGUUUGUUGUGAAGCAUUUUCCAUUUACUUUCUUCCAUGCAUUGUCUAUCAUGCCCUUAAUGUUCUUCCUAGCUGUUUCUUCAGAGGCAUUCACUUCUCUCAUGUAACAUACGAUUGAUGAAGGAGAAUCCCCUCUCUCUUGUUCAGCCUGUUAAUCAUUUCAUUAAUUAUGUCGUGAUUAGAUUUUUUGUUUAGUUUUUUCGACUGUAAAGAAUGAAAGAAAUAAAAAAGAUUACCACGGAAGUUCCCAAAUCAUUGUUGAGGCGAACGAUGAGAGAGAUAUUAUACAAAAGAUCUUCAUUCUUGUGAAGAAAAUCAGCCAUCUCUUUGGUUCCCUCAUGAGUUAUAGAGAAAAACGAGUGAACCAAAAGCACUGAAACUGAUGAUGAAAUGCAUCCGUUUCUUAGGUACUCUUCAAGGGUUGGUAUAUGGCUCUUAUUAUACCACUCUGCCUCCACCAAUAAUGCUUUACAAAAAUCUGCCCACUAAGAAUCAGACAAAUAAGUUCAGCUAUAAAUAUAUAUACACACAUAAAAAUCAAAGCAAACAAAAAAAGAGAAUUGUUAUUGGCAAUCUAAAAAUGUUAUAUGCACUCAUCCGUUAUAAAAAUGUAACGGAGAAUUUACACUUCGGCAAGUUUAGGAUGAUCUUUCCAAAGUGCCAAUAACAGCUAAAAAACAAAACAAAACUGGCUUAGGUUGAGUACCACUUUGGUCAAUUGAGGUAAUACUUGGUUCCAACCAUUCUCCUCCUCAAUUUCACGAGCAAUUUCACAAGUAGUGUUGUAGAGUACUUGGAAACACAUCUUCAUACACUCUGGAAGCUGCUCAGUUUCCCUAGAAUCCCACCUGAUCAAUUCAAGAAAUCUUUUAAAAUUUUGUAUCAACAAUUAUCGUUUAUGGAAUUUGAACUCACAACUUCCUCAAAAAAUGUCAAAACUCGACAUUUGGCAUUUGAAAAUUAAAUAACUGAAUUAAAUAACUGACCUAUCAACAGCAUUGGUGAAGUGCUUUAGCUCUUCCUCUGAGCCAUAAAUAUCAUAGACGUCGUCUAUGAUCAGUACUAAGUUGAUGACUUUGGUAAGACAUAUUCUAAAAGAUGAGUGCUCAGGCUCGAAUGCUACUCCCACAGCACAUGAGAAACAUUCAACCAGUCUAUCUCUUGCAAAUUUCAAGUUGUCUGCGAAGCCCAGAUUUGCCCACCACCUUAAAUGACACAUUAAAAUCAUUAUGAGGGUCGUUGGAGCGGUUGAGAAUACUGUCAAAAUACGGAGAGAGAAUCUCGCUCACACUCACAUGCAUUAGGCCAGCACGACGGUCACAUGCCACAACAUGCAUUAAGUCCUUCUAAAUAAGACUAUCCUUUUCAUAACAUAGACUUUCCUCACAUCCUCCCCCCUCUCUCUCCCCCACCCCCCAAAUGGAUUACUUUGAUGACAUUCUGUAUUAAUGACGUAACAUCAUGUGUUUUAUUGUUUCAGAGAGUUUCCUCACAUCCCCCCAUAGGUUACUUUGAUGACAUUAUGUAUUAAUGACGUAACAUCAUGUGUUUUAUUGUUUUCGCAUGCAUCGUAUCAUUAGUUCAAAAGUAAAUUGUAGCAGUGGUCCCUCAACUUUAAUUAAAUUGGAGCAAUGGUUCCUUAACUAAAAAUUCAUUAUCAUUGGUCCCUCAACUCAUCAAAAUGUAUAGCUAUGGUCCUUUUCGUCAACUUCGUCAUAAUUUUGUCAAAAUAAGUUAUAUUGGAAUAAUCAUUGCUAUAAUUGGGAUCCCUCAACUCAUCAAAACGUGCAGCUAUGGUCCCUUUUGUCAACUUUGUCAGAAUUUUGUGAAAAUGAGUUAUGUUGAAAGGACCAUUGCUACAAUUGGGCUAAAGUUGAGGGACCAUUGUUCCAAUUGGGUUAAAGUUGAUGACCAUUUCUCCAGUUGGAUUAAAGUUGAGGGACCAUAGCUGCACAUUUUGAUAAGUUGAGGGAUCAAUGGUAAUAGAUUUAUAGUUGAGGGGUCAUUGCUCCAAUUGAGUUAAAGUUAAGGGAUCAUUGCUACAAUUUACUCUUAGUUCAAAAUGUCGUCAUCAUAAUAAAUAUAUAGAAAUAACAUGGGGUGUGCUAUCCACACAUCUCUUUUUACUUCUCACACACCAUCUUAAUUUUAGGCCGUCAGAUCGAAAAAAAUUGAAGAAGACAAAUGAUAUAAAUUAAUAAGGGGUGUAUGAGAAGUAAAAAUGAAUAUGUGGAUACGACACCCGUAAAUAAAUUAAGAAGAAGACGAAUGAUGUUUUUUUUUUUUGCCUUACCUGGAUGCUUCCCUUAAGUUUUUUUGGAGUUGGGCCUGAACUACGUUGAAAUUAAGCUUUGCUAAUUCGAGUAACGUGGCGUUGACGCGACAAAUGUCUUUUUCAUAGGCGUUGAUUUGCCAUUUGACAUCAAACCACUGCACUCUGCGGUGUGAUGGAAGCUCCAGGGAAUGAACUACGUCCCUGGAAAGGUUACUGUCUGGAUAACAAAUAUGACCACUAUCUCUGAGAGCUAGCGUCAAGGAAGCUUUCGCCUCAUCUAAAAUAUCUUCACCUUCGAAACCCAGGUUUGAGGCCUCGAAAAGUUCCAGCAUUCCUUUUAAAUGCGCGAAAUGGUGGUUCUCUAAUGUGCCCUUUUCAUCCAUGAAUCUACCAAAUAUAUCUGUGUUUCACACCACACAUCAGUUAAACAAUAAGAGUUCUUUAAUUAUAAGAUAAAAUUAUGGAAAUGUUUAGAAGUGCUUAGGUCUAAACGCAUGGCUAAUCAUUAUUUACCUUGUGAAACUUUAUAGCCAUGCUGCCUGAGGAUCUUGAAGUGUAAUGCAGUACCAUAGAGAUCGUCUCUUGUGCCGAGAUUGUCGCUUUCGAUAGCUGCAAUGCUGUCUAGGGCUUCCUUGAUUUCCUUUUCGAAGAGGUUCGCGAGGCCUAGUUUUCGGACGCUGUCAAUGAGCUCCAACUUAGCUACUAAAUCCAUUGUUUCAGCAGAUAUAUAAAUCUUAACUUCUUCUAUUAACUUCUCAGACAGCUUCCGAUACUCAUCUCCCUGCACUCAGUUUAUAAUAAAAUAAUUAAGACAAUUCACGUUAAUUAAGCUUAGACUUUAACUACAACAUUAAUGGAAGAAGCUUAAUUAGAAACAUAUAUAACUCACAUCGUAUUUGCUGAUAAGAGAUUGAUCUAGGAAAUCGUUCUUCCAAAUAUUUGGCUUGUAAUUUGCAGACCGUCUUUGAUUAAUCAAGUAAGAGGCUUCAGGUUCGGGUUUCAUCUGGUUUUGAAAAAAUUUCUGCUCAUUAUCAGCUUGCAAGUGAACUCUGAAUUCCAUAGUGAAUACCUAAUUUGGUGUACAAGAAGCUCGAGAUGUUUGGGAUACAAGAAGCUAUAGAGGUUUUUGGGAUAUCAAAUGAAUCUCCGGAGGGGUGGGUUAUAUAGGCAAAGGUAGUGUAUACUCCACACGUCUACUGGUCAAUAAUAUUGGACUAUGCAUGUUUAUAGCGCUUUCACAUUCCUCGUGAAAAACGAGAAAAAAUCAAUGAGUGGAUAAGUUAUAUGGUUCUUCUUACAACUACAGGGUCGUCUCUAAG
Molecule: long non-coding RNA, 11051 nt
Filed under: Malus domestica (apple)
Lineage: Eukaryota; Viridiplantae; Streptophyta; Magnoliopsida; Rosales; Rosaceae
Description: long non-coding RNA (MDOM_LNC009748)
Source: RNAcentral